Molecule: ribosomal RNA, 629 nt
Filed under: Cutibacterium acnes
Lineage: Bacteria; Bacillati; Actinomycetota; Actinomycetes; Propionibacteriales; Propionibacteriaceae
Description: bacterial SSU rRNA
Rfam family: Bacterial small subunit ribosomal RNA
Source: RNAcentral
ACCCAUGCAGUCGACGGAAGGCCCUGCUUUUGUGGGGUGCUCGAGUGGCGAACGGGUGAGUAACACGUGAGUAACCUGCCCUUGACUUUGGGAUAACUUCAGGAAACUGGGGCUAAUACCGGAUAGGAGCUCCUGCUGCAUGGUGGGGGUUGGAAAGUUUCGGCGGUUGGGGAUGGACUCGCGGCUUAUCAGCUUGUUGGUGGGGUAGUGGCUUACCAAGGCUUUGACGGGUAGCCGGCCUGAGAGGGUGACCGGCCACAUUGGGACUGAGAUACGGCCCAGACUCCUACGGGAGGCAGCAGUGGGGAAUAUUGCACAAUGGGCGGAAGCCUGAUGCAGCAACGCCGCGUGCGGGAUGACGGCCUUCGGGUUGUAAACCGCUUUCGCCUGUGACGAAGCGUGAGUGACGGUAAUGGGUAAAGAAGCACCGGCUAACUACGUGCCAGCAGCCGCGGUGAUACGUAGGGUGCGAGCGUUGUCCGGAUUUAUUGGGCGUAAAGGGCUCGUAGGUGGUUGAUCGCGUCGGAAGUGUAAUCUUGGGGCUUAACCCUGAGCGUGCUUUCGAUACGGGUUGACUUGAGGAAGGUAGGGGAGAAUGGAAUUCCUGGUGUAGCGGUGAAAUGCGUAGA